This 156-nucleotide ribosomal RNA is filed under the name Typhula sp. UW97.3.129. RNAcentral's name for it is "5.8S ribosomal RNA". It matches the Rfam family "5.8S ribosomal RNA". From Rfam's summary of the family: 5.8S ribosomal RNA (5.8S rRNA) is a component of the large subunit of the eukaryotic ribosome. It is transcribed by RNA polymerase I as part of the 45S precursor that also contains 18S and 28S rRNA. Functionally, it is thought that 5.8S rRNA may be involved in ribosome translocation. Lineage: Eukaryota; Fungi; Basidiomycota; Agaricomycetes; Agaricales; Typhulaceae. The record is from RNAcentral.
ACUUUUAACAACGGAUCUCUUGGCUCUCGCAUCGAUGAAGAACGCAGCGAAAUGCGAUAAGUAAUGUGAAUUGCAGAUUUCAGUGAAUCAUCGAAUCUUUGAACGCACCUUGCGCCCUUUGGUAUUCCGAAGGGCAUGCCUGUUUGAGUGUCAUUA